RNAcentral lists this small nuclear RNA (140 nucleotides) under Dendronephthya gigantea. RNAcentral's name for it is "U4 spliceosomal RNA". It matches the Rfam family "U4 spliceosomal RNA". From Rfam's summary of the family: U4 small nuclear RNA (U4 snRNA) is a component of the major U2-dependent spliceosome. The structure of U4 snRNA from yeast and human has been reported. U4 snRNA presents a k-turn RNA motif in the 5p-SL related to recognition of Snu13 protein. Lineage: Eukaryota; Metazoa; Cnidaria; Anthozoa; Malacalcyonacea; Nephtheidae. The record is from RNAcentral.
AGCUUUGCGCAGUGGCAUUAUCGUAGCUGAUGAGGUUUUAUCCGAGGCGCGAUUAUUGCUGAUUGAAAACUUAUACCAAUACCCCGCCAGAUGGCCUGAAAUAUGGUCAACUGAGCAAUUUUUUUUGGUCCUUUAUUGGG